CAGGGAUUAGCUCAGUUUGGCAGAGUGCCGCACCCGGACUGCGGAAGCCGAAGGUUCGAAUCCUUCAUCCCUGACCA
RNAcentral lists this transfer RNA (77 nucleotides) under Antarctobacter albus. RNAcentral's name for it is "Mameliella alba tRNA-Pro". It matches the Rfam family "tRNA". Rfam says of the family: Transfer RNA (tRNA) molecules are approximately 80 nucleotides in length. Their secondary structure includes four short double-helical elements and three loops (D, anti-codon, and T loops). Lineage: Bacteria; Pseudomonadati; Pseudomonadota; Alphaproteobacteria; Rhodobacterales; Roseobacteraceae. RNAcentral also lists the same sequence under 2 other names. The record is from RNAcentral.